This is a long non-coding RNA of Rhea pennata, 483 nucleotides long. RefSeq lists it as uncharacterized. Lineage: Eukaryota; Metazoa; Chordata; Aves; Rheiformes; Rheidae. The transcript is spliced from 2 exons. The record is from RefSeq and is a predicted model, not a curated record.
GGCAGCGCGACGCACGCAGCGUUAUCGCCCGGGCAGGCUCAGCGCAGCCGAGUGGCAUUUUCCUUUCAUGCAGAAACCGACACCAAACGCGGGGCAGGAGGAUUCGCGGCCCCCCGGCGCAGCCCGCGACCCCGGCCGGCAGCCUCUCAGAGCGGCAGAUAAGUCGGACGCGCAAGUCGGCUCUGAUGUGGCGGCCGAAGGCAAAGUUUUUUUCCAGACGCCAAAUACAGCGAGGAUGUGGCUGCUGGUUGUAUGAAUCCCUCUAACUGCAGUAUCUGAAUUGAUAUAUUGGAGGAAGAAGGAUCGACAAGAGACACAGCAUCACCUAACUUCUGACUGAGCUGCAAGAACACGCAGCCUCUGAAAAACUCAGUAAGUCCCCUAACAAGAGGGGAAAAAAAAUGGAAAGAACAAAAAAAGGCCACCUCUAAUGAUAAAAAUAAGUAACUUUCAUACAGUAGUAAAAGAAGAGUAUGAAUCCAA